Molecule: ribosomal RNA, 484 nt
Filed under: uncultured bacterium
Lineage: Bacteria
Description: partial 16S ribosomal RNA
Rfam family: Bacterial small subunit ribosomal RNA
Source: RNAcentral
AUUGAACGCUGGCGGCAGGCCUAACACAUGCAAGUCGAGCGGAUGAAGGGAGCUUGCUCCUGGAUUCAGCGGCGGACGGGUGAGUAAUGCCUAGGAAUCUGCCUGGUAGUGGGGGAUAACGUCCGGAAACGGGCGCUAAUACCGCAUACGUCCUGAGGGAGAAAGUGGGGGAUCUUCGGACCUCACGCGAUCAGAUGAGCCUAGGUCGGAUUAGCUAGUUGGUGGGGUAAAGGCCUACCAAGGCGACGAUCCGUAACUGGUCUGAGAGGAUGAUCAGUCACACUGGAACUGAGACACGGUCCAGACUCCUACGGGAGGCAGCAGUGGGGAAUAUUGGACAAUGGGCGAAAGCCUGAUCCAGCCAUGCCGCGUGUGUGAAGAAGGACUUCGGAUUGUAAAGCACUUUAAGUUGGGAGGAAGGGCAGUAAGUUAAUACCUUGCUGUUUUGACGUUACCAACAGAAUAAGCACCGGCUAACUUCGUG